AGAGUUUGAUCAUGGCUCAGGAUGAACGCUAGCGGCAGGCUUAACACAUGCAAGUCGAGGGGUAUAAGUCUUCGGAUUUAGAGACCGGCGCACGGGUGCGUAACGCGUAUGCAAUCUACCUUUUACAGAGGGAUAGCCCAGAGAAAUUUGGAUUAAUACCUCAUAGUAUAUAGAGUUGGCAUCAACACUAUAUUAAAGUCACAACGGUAAAAGAUGAGCAUGCGUCCCAUUAGCUUGUUGGUAAGGUAACGGCUUACCAAGGCUACGAUGGGUAGGGGUCCUGAGAGGGAGAUCCCCCACACCGGUACUGAGACACGGACCAGACUCCUACGGGAGGCAGCAGUGAGGAAUAUUGGUCAAUGGACGCAAGUCUGAACCAGCCAUGCCGCGUGCAGGAUGACGGUCCUAUGGAUUGUAAACUGCUUUUGCACAGGAAGAAACAACUCUACGUGUAGAGUCUUGACGGUACUGUGAGAAUAAGGAUCGGCUAACUCCGUGCCAGCAGCCGCGGUAAUACGGAGGAUCCAAGCGUUAUCCGGAAUCAUUGGGUUUAAAGGGUCCGUAGGCGGUUUAGUAAGUCAGUGGUGAAAGCCCAUCGCUCAACGGUGGAACGGCCAUUGAUACUGCUAAACUUGAAUUAUUAGGAAGUAACUAGAAUAUGUAGUGUAGCGGUGAAAUGCUUAGAGAUUACAUGGAAUACCAAUUGCGAAGGCAGGUUACUACUAAUGGAUUGACGCCGAUGGACGAAAGCGUGGGUAGCGAACAGGAUUGGAUACCCUGGUAGUCCACGCCGUAAACGAUGGAUACUAGCUGUUGGAAGCAAUUUCAGUGGCUAAGCGAAAGUGAUAAGUAUCCCACCUGGGGAGUACGUUCGCAAGAAUGAAACUCAAAGGAAUUGACGGGGGCCCGCACAAGCGGUGGAGCAUGUGGUUUAAUUCGAUGAUACGCGAGGAACCUUACCAAGGCUUAAAUGUAGAUUGACCGGUUUGGAAACAGACUUUUCGCAAGACAAUUUACAAGGUGCUGCAUGGUUGUCGUCAGCUCGUGCCGUGAGGUGUCAGGUUAAGUCCUAUAACGAGCGCAACCCCUGUUGUUAGUUGCCAGCGAGUCAUGUCGGGAACUCUAACAAGACUGCCAGUGUAAACUGUGAGGAAGGUGGGGAUGACGUCAAAUCAUCACGGCCCUUACGCCUUGGGCUACACACGUGCUACAAUGGCCGGUACAGAGAGCAGCCACUGGGCGACCAGGAGCGAAUCUACAAAACCGGUCACAGUUCGGAUCGGAGUCUGCAACUCGACUCCGUGAAGCUGGAAUCGCUAGUAAUCGGAUAUCAGCCAUGAUCCGGUGAAUACGUUCCCGGGCCUUGUACACACCGCCCGUCAAGCCAUGGAAGCUGGGGGUGCCUGAAGUCGGUGACCGCAAGGAGCUGCCUAGGGUAAAACUGGUAACUAGGGCUAAGUCGUAACAAGGUA
RNAcentral lists this ribosomal RNA (1472 nucleotides) under metagenome. RNAcentral describes it as "bacterial SSU rRNA". It matches the Rfam family "Bacterial small subunit ribosomal RNA". The record is from RNAcentral.